This 378-nucleotide unclassified non-coding RNA is filed under the name soil metagenome. RNAcentral's name for it is "partial contains 5.8S ribosomal RNA, internal transcribed spacer 2, and large subunit ribosomal RNA". The stretch from base 1 to 120 matches the Rfam family "5.8S ribosomal RNA", at positions 35 to 154 of the family's 154-position model. The record is from RNAcentral.
GAUGAAGAACGUAGCGAAAUGCGAUAAGUAAUGUGAAUUGCAGAAUUCAGUGAAUCAUCGAAUCUUUGAACGCACAUUGCGCCCGCCAGUAUUCUGGCGGGCAUGCCUGUUCGAGCGUCAUUUCAACCCUCAAGCCCCAGCGGCCUGGUGUUGGGGACCGGCGACCUCGCCCGAGCCCGCCCUCCGGGGCGCGUGCCCGGUGCGUCCGCCGCCCCCGAAAUGAAUUGGCGGCCUCGUCGCGGCCUCCUCUGCGUAGUAGCACAACCUCGCAAGCGGGAGCGCGACGCGGCCACUGCCGUAAAACGCCCAACUUUUUUAGAGUUGACCUCGGAUCAGGUAGGAAUACCCGCUGAACUUAAGCAUAUCAAUAAGCGGAGA